This 445-nucleotide ribosomal RNA is filed under the name uncultured bacterium. RNAcentral's name for it is "partial 16S ribosomal RNA". It matches the Rfam family "Bacterial small subunit ribosomal RNA", at positions 354 to 796 of the family's 1533-position model. The record is from RNAcentral.
GUGAGGAAUAUUGGACAAUGGGCGCAAGCCUGAUCCAGCCAUGCCGCGUGCAGGAAGACGCAUCUAUGGUGUGUAAACUGCUUUUGUACGGGAAGAAACACUCCCUCGUGAGGGAGCUUGACGGUACCGUAAGAAUAAGGAUCGGCUAACUCCGUGCCAGCAGCCGCGGUAAUACGGAGGAUCCAAGCGUUAUCCGGAAUCAUUGGGUUUAAAGGGUCCGUAGGCGGUUUAAUAAGUCAGUGGUGAAAGCCCAUCGCUCAACGAUGGAACGGCCAUUGAUACUGUUAGACUCGAAUUACAAGGAAGUAACUAGAAUAUGUAGUGUAGCGGUGAAAUGCUUAGAUAUUACAUGGAAUACCAAUUGCGAAGGCAGGUUACUACUUGUGGAUUGACGCUGAUGGACGAAAGCGUGGGGAGCGAACAGGAUUAGAAACCCUUGUAGUCC